RNAcentral lists this long non-coding RNA (1953 nucleotides) under Solanum tuberosum (potato). Its description in RNAcentral is "long non-coding RNA (STUB_LNC008612)". The record is from RNAcentral. Lineage: Eukaryota; Viridiplantae; Streptophyta; Magnoliopsida; Solanales; Solanaceae.
GGCAUAGUUAAUAAAAACUUAUUACACAAAACAACAGAAAGAGAAUAUGUCUACUACAUACCAAUUGCUGCUUGGUAUUACCAUGUAAUGUAUUUACUUCAAGGGAUAGCCCCGCUAGUCAUUAUCAGCCUCCUUUAUUCGUGGUCUUCACAAAAACAUCAGGACCUGUCAGAUAACGUCAUCAACACAGGAAAUUACUACGUUUGUGAGAAAAAAUGUCAUGUUGAAAUAAAUAGAAGCAUAUAUAGUUUACCUAGUAAUUGAUUUAUUCAAAUAGAAGCAAGUUAUUUCAACCACCACAUUUCUACCCCCAGUACUUGGAUCUGUACCCUCAUAUCAUGGAAUAAGAAUCACGAAGAAUCCGACCUCUAAAUUCACAUCGGUAUUGAACACCCUCACCCAAAUCUGAGCAACUUAGGUUGAAAGCAAACGAUUUAUGCCCUAAUGUAUCUUGCAGACUACUGGAAGAACUUUGUAUUUCUUUUGAGUUUAAAGUACAGAGUAAACAACACAAAGAUAAAAAAAAACAAUUGCUAUGAAAGCAUUUUCAAACUUUUUUGAAACUAAAACAGUCCUACAGGACUAUAUAGGACUGAAACCAUUCACCAAAUAAUUGAAACUUGAAAGAAUACUUUUUCUGAAAUAGAAACAUAAUUCAUUUACUACAGAUUCUAGGUAUUUCCUGCAAGUAACAAUGCUACACAAGCAACUAUAGGAAUUAAGAAAAGCAUAUUUUCUUACAAAUCUAAAAUACUUCGAGUAAAUCUCAUACAUGUGGUUAGUUUUCCUCGGUAAGGUCAGAUGUCAAGAUCUCAAGCUCCCUUCGACAUUAAUAUGGUCAAUUUUUAUCAACCUCUACGCGUCUCUUUUAAUCAUCAAUUCAGAGGAAAGUUUUAUCCUCUCUGUUAUUAUCCUCUUUUUAUCAUGUUCUUAUAUCAGUCAAUGAUUUUGUGACACAUAGAUACAAUUCUAAACCAAUAGGUAGAACAUUGAAAUUACAAAUAUUAGCCUUCAGGUACCUUCCCUCUCGAUCAACUUACCAAAAUAAAUAACAAAAAGGCUGUGGAUUCAAGUUGUUAAGAAAUUUUUAUGUUUACUAUGAAUAUGUAUCAAGCGAUUGACGAUAACAUGAUCCUUUCAUUCUCAAUUCGCCAUGAAUAAGGUAGAGAUAAAAGAUCCACCACCCAGCCUUCUACUUGAGUCAUAACCAUAUCAUUCGAAAUAUUUUGUAAAUGUCUCUAAUUCAUGCCUGUGAGGGCCUUUGCCCUUCUUCUCUUCAAUAAAAAGUGUUAUACUUUAUUGUCACUUUGAAAAACAUCAAAUUCACAAAUACAUGCCUACUGCUCACAUAAGCUUCUUGUGGUUUAGACCUCAAUGAGACAUUUUUAUCAAUAAAUUUCACAUAGAGAUCAUUAUUAUUUUAAAAAUAAACUAAUCAUAUGGAGAGCUUAUUUGGUUAUCGAGAAAACAAUUUAAAUCUUGAUAAUUAUAAGAGUAACUUGGUAACUUGUGUUGAAGGGAUAUAACAAGUAUUUCAUGAAAUUAGUUUGAGGUGCACACAAGUGGCCCAGACACUACAAUCAUAGAGAAACUAUAUCUUUAUUGAACGCAAUCUUGUGUGAUUGAUUAUGAUGUGUUUGAUCUUACUUCACAUAUGCUUAGGUAAUUGACCUCAAGAUCGCAAAAGAAAGUAAGAUGGUUUGGUCUUAAUAUUCUAGAAUAUAGAACAAACUUAUUUGACUUAAAACGAAAACCUGACAGACCCUGCUUCUUCCAAAAAAAAUCCCAUCAGCACUAUUAAAACAACAACAUACCAUGUAUAGUGGCACAAAGUGGGGUCUGGAGAGGGUAAGUGUACGCAAUGUUGUUUCCCACCUUCACUAAUCCAUAUGAAUAAAGAAUAUAAGUAGUAAGAAAAAAAUUAUAACAAUUGCCAAUGCAACAAGAUUUUCU